Molecule: non-coding RNA, 26 nt
Filed under: Homo sapiens (human)
Lineage: Eukaryota; Metazoa; Chordata; Mammalia; Primates; Hominidae
Source: RNAcentral
UAAAAUCUGGGUACACAACACAGGAA